Cynara cardunculus var. scolymus (artichoke) is the source of this 1294-nucleotide long non-coding RNA. RefSeq lists it as uncharacterized. The transcript is spliced from 4 exons. The record is from RefSeq and is a predicted model, not a curated record. NCBI's taxonomy places the organism in Eukaryota, Viridiplantae, Streptophyta, Magnoliopsida, Asterales, Asteraceae.
CCAAAUCGCCUGAUGCUUAUGAAUGAACUUCUCUUUGAACUAAUUCAUCGGUUUUAUUCAAACAACAGAAAGUAGGGCUUUUGACCGCCUUCUCGACCCCUGGUAACAGUUCUCGACGCCUUCAAAACAGUAGCAGUUCUAUUGAAGUUCAUUUUUAUCAAUCUUGUGUUGUUAAUCUUGAAUGCCAUUUUUAUAGUUAGUAUGUUUAUUUAGAGUCGAGAACUGCAAGAAGCAAAUUGCAUAUUGUUGUAAGGCCAAUUUUAUGAGCAGUUGUUGUUCUAUUUUGAUUUUCAAUUUGGAAUUGCUUUAGGAUUGCUUUUGAGUGAUAAUGCACUAAUUUAUUAUUUGGGUAUGCAGAUACAUGGCAGGUUGCAGUUACUAGAUACUUAAAUGUCACACCUAUUGUUCUAGAUUGGACAAAUCAUCACACCUUUGUUGGCUACAUCUUGAUAGUAUUGCUGCUGCUUAAGGGACACAUUCUAUUGGUUUCUUGAUGAGGAAUUUCUUAGACAAAUGAUUGUUGCUCUCAAUCCAAUUAGCAUAAAGUUUGAUGCUUCUAUGCAUUUUGUCCACCAGGUAGUACUUUCAAUAGUGUUGAAUAUAUGUUGAUGUGCCAUAAGCACUUAAUGUCAAUCUAUUAAGUGAAAGGUAAUUGGUUAUGUUUGUCCUCCAAUGUGAGUAUGUCAUAUAAGAAUUUAACAGUUUUAAAUCUGAAUUUAAAAUCUAAGAAUGAAGUUUGCUUCUGUAUCUUGACAAACAGACUUAACCCUCAAAAGAUGUUGCUGAAAUCUUCAAAAAUUUCUUGCAAUUUACAAAUCCACGAUUUUGGAAUAGUAAAGUUGCAUGGAGUGUGAACCUUGUCAUCAGACUACCAUUGGAGACAUUCCUACACCAACUUGGCAUGCUUUCAAGGAUCAAGAACUGGGGGUCUUUGGCAUCGUGAUCUCUGUCGUUUCAAUAUGAGGAAAAGAGUACCCAUAUCUUUUGGACCAAGAAGAACCAUAAUUGACAAAGAACUUGAAGUUAGAAGAUUGUCAUGUCAUCGUUUGAUUUUUGUGACAUUUUAUGUUUCAACUUUCAAGAAAUGAAGGCGUUGCCAAAACUGGUUUUGGUAUACCUGAACUCCCAAUCCUCUCUAUCUUUUGCUGCAAUUACGGAAUAUGGGAACUUUUCAUAUUCUUUAUCUUUCUGUUCAAUGUGUAUUUUUAUAAAUCGAUUUAAAACAAGUCCCGAGUAUAUGUUAUAUUGUUGUUUAACAAUCCUUGGCCGGUGAAAACAAUGUUGUUUACUGUAA